GAUGAACGCUAGCGGCAGGCUUAAUACAUGCAAGUCGUGGGGCAGCAGGAGUAGCAAUACUUGCUGGCGACCGGCAAACGGGUGCGGAACACGUACACAACCUUCCUUUAAGCGGGGGAUAGCCCAGAGAAAUUUGGAUUAAUACCCCAUAAUAUAUAAUGUAGGCAUCUACGAGAUAUUAAAGCUUCGGCAUUUAAAGAUGGGUGUGCGUCUGAUUAGAUAGUUGGUGAGGUAAUGGCUCACCAAGUCAACGAUCAGUAGCUGAUGUGAGAGCAUGAUCAGCCACACGGGCACUGAGACACGGGCCCGACUCCUACGGGAGGCAGCAGUAAGGAAUAUUGGUCAAUGGACGAAAGUCUGAACCAGCCAUGCCGCGUGAAGGAUUAAGGUCCUCUGGAUUGUAAACUUCUUUUAUAGGGGACGAAAAAAGGGCAUUCUUGCUCACUUGACGGUACUCUAUGAAUAAGCACCGGCUAACU
This 479-nucleotide ribosomal RNA is filed under the name uncultured bacterium. Its description in RNAcentral is "bacterial SSU rRNA". It matches the Rfam family "Bacterial small subunit ribosomal RNA", at positions 28 to 502 of the family's 1533-position model. The record is from RNAcentral.